GGAGCUCGUUCAGAAACGAUUUUUUCUUCACUGAGUUUCGUACAGUUAACGAUGACAGGUGUAACUGUGAGGUUAGAUUUCUCACGAUGUAUUUUGGUCGUGAAAUGUUACCCAAAUGUCAUGAAACUUCGGUGAAACUUGAAAAGAAAU
Bradysia coprophila is the source of this 150-nucleotide long non-coding RNA. NCBI's taxonomy places the organism in Eukaryota, Metazoa, Arthropoda, Insecta, Diptera, Sciaridae. The record is from RefSeq and is a predicted model, not a curated record.